Molecule: ribosomal RNA, 253 nt
Filed under: uncultured bacterium
Lineage: Bacteria
Description: partial 16S ribosomal RNA
Rfam family: Bacterial small subunit ribosomal RNA
Source: RNAcentral
GACGAAGGUGGCGAGCGUUACUCGGAAUUACUAGGCGUAAAGCGUGGGCAGGCGGCUCGGUCAGUCUGUUGUGAAAGCUCCUGGCUUAACCGGGAGAGGCCAAUGGAUACUGCCGGGCUUGAAUCGGGGAGGGGUCACUGGAAUUCCUGGUGUAGCGGUGAAAUGCGCAGAUAUCAGGAGGAACACCGAUUGCGAAGGCAGCUCGCUGGGACGUUACUGACGCUGAGACGCGAAAGCGUGGGGAGCAAACAGG